This 250-nucleotide unclassified non-coding RNA is filed under the name air metagenome. RNAcentral describes it as "partial contains small subunit ribosomal RNA, internal transcribed spacer 1, and 5.8S ribosomal RNA". The stretch from base 1 to 46 matches the Rfam family "Eukaryotic small subunit ribosomal RNA", at positions 1786 to 1831 of the family's 1831-position model. The record is from RNAcentral.
AAGUCGUAACAAGGUUUCCGUAGGUGAACCUGCGGAAGGAUCAUUACUGAGUGCGGGCCCUCUGGGUCCAACCUCCCACCCGUGUAUACCGUACCCUGUUGCUUCGGCGGGCCCGCCGUUCUGGCCGCCGGGGGGCAUCCGCCCCCGGGCCCGCGCCCGCCGAAGACACCCUGAACGCUGUCUGAAGAUUGCAGUCUGAGCGAUAAGCACAAAUUAGUUAAAACUUUCAACAACGGAUCUCUUGGUUCCG